RNAcentral lists this ribosomal RNA (275 nucleotides) under Bacteroides fragilis. RNAcentral describes it as "partial 16S ribosomal RNA". It matches the Rfam family "Bacterial small subunit ribosomal RNA", at positions 1 to 268 of the family's 1533-position model. Lineage: Bacteria; Pseudomonadati; Bacteroidota; Bacteroidia; Bacteroidales; Bacteroidaceae. The record is from RNAcentral.
ACAAUGAAGAGUUUGAUCCUGGCUCAGGAUGAACGCUAGCUACAGGCUUAACACAUGCAAGUCGAGGGGCAUCAGGAAGAAAGCUUGCUUUCUUUGCUGGCGACCGGCGCACGGGUGAGUAACACGUAUCCAACCUGCCCUUUACUCGGGGAUAGCCUUUCGAAAGAAAGAUUAAUACCCGAUGGCAUAAUGAUUCCGCAUGGUUUCAUUAUUAAAGGAUUCCGGUAAAGGAUGGGGAUGCGUUCCAUUAGGUUGUUGGUGAGGUAACGGCUCAC